This 1149-nucleotide long non-coding RNA is filed under the name Phasianus colchicus (ring-necked pheasant). Its description in RNAcentral is "lncRNA (ENSPCLG00000019093.1)". The record is from RNAcentral. Lineage: Eukaryota; Metazoa; Chordata; Aves; Galliformes; Phasianidae.
UGUGGGGAUGUGGGGAUAUGGAGAUAUGGGGAUAUGGAGAUGUGGGAAUGUUGUGAUGUGGCGACAUGGGGAUGCGUCCCCUCUGGCCACUCACCCAUAGGUUUCUGUCCAAAGCAGCACAGUGUGGACCUGGCAGUGCGAGGGCAGCGCAGCAGACCCACAUCUGCAGCGCCCAGCGGCAGCCCUGCGUCCCUGCAUGGAGCAGCUGCAGUUCCCCAGGGCCGGCAGCAGGACGAGGGCAGCCCGCAGCUCCACACCAGGGAUUUCUUCCACUCCCAGCGCACCCUGACGCUUCCCCAGAGGAAAGGAACUCGGGACAGCUUGGAUCUCCUCACCGGGAAGAGAGCCGCCUCCAGGCUGGAGAAAAGCAGGCUGAAGGCCGGCUCCGAGCUGACCCUGCUGCCCCACGGCAAGUCACCCACGGCCAGCUGCGAGGGCUCUUUCCUUUCGCCCCUCCUGAAGCGCGCUGCGUCCGCCAGGAGCGCCUGGAAGCGUCCCGCAUCCAUGGGCAGCACGGAGAGAGGGAAGGUGCUGCAGAAGAGAAAGGAGUGGGAGAUGAAGGCAGCGAUGUGAGCGGAGUGAUGCUGCGCCGCGCGGGGACCGAGCCGGGCUGCGGUGCUGGAGAGCUGCUAUGGGGCCGUGCUGGGGGGGCACACCGGCACCCCAAACCUUCUGUGGGGUCACAUCGGCACCCCAAACCUUCUGUGGGGUCACACCGGCACCCCAAACCUUCUGUGGGGUCACUGCUUCUCUGUGUUUUCGGUGUGGGUUUCCCAGUGGGGCGGAGAUGGUGGAAAUGGUCCCAAUGGUGCCCAGCUGUGCCCAACGGACCCCAAUAGAACCCAAUGGACCCCAGUGGUGCCCAGUAGAACCCAGUGGUGCCCAACAGACCCCCAAUGGUGCCCAACAGACCCCCAAUGGUGCCCAACAGAACCCAAUGGUGCCCAGCGGAUCCCAGUGGUGCCCAACGGACCCCAGUAGAACCCAAUGGACCCCAAUCGUGCCCAAUAGACUCCAGUGGUGCCCAAUGGAUCCCAAUGGUGCCCAACGGACCCCAAUGGUGCCCAGUAGAACCCAAUGGUGCCCAACGGACCCCAAUAGAACCCAACGGACCCCAGUGGUGCCCAAUAGAACCCAGUGGUGCCCAAU